This is a long non-coding RNA of Ananas comosus (pineapple), 450 nucleotides long. RefSeq lists it as uncharacterized. The record is from RefSeq and is a predicted model, not a curated record. Lineage: Eukaryota; Viridiplantae; Streptophyta; Magnoliopsida; Poales; Bromeliaceae. The transcript has 5 exons.
UUUGAGGUUAGUACCUGAGAAGCUAUAUCUCAGCUGUAGUUAAGGAAUUAGCUCAAAUUUCUUGUUAACUUGCGAUUUAGCAUCGAAAUUUGAUGCGUUUUGGUUUCACUGCCUCUAACUGAAUUCGAGAAGGUUUUCAGCAGUAAAGAGGGGUUCUUGUGACUGUGAAGGAACUACUUUAGCUCAGUAAAGGAGUUGCUAUAAAGCUGAACAGGUUAUUAAACCCCAUUAAACUAAAUUGGUGACCUUGAGAACUUAUCUGCAGGGUGUCUUAGCCAGGGCAGGGUUAUAAUUAACCCUUGGAUCAUUUUCAGCUGGUCGGUGAGAGCUUUUGGAAGCUUAACUUGAGCAGGAGUGAGGCCUCGUGGGGCUGAUUUGGGACCCUUGUAAAUUGAUUUGGAGAUUAGUACGAGAGCCAUCUACAGGAGAGGCUAGGGAUCGUGGCAAGGG